Molecule: long non-coding RNA, 1084 nt
Organism: Phyllopteryx taeniolatus (common seadragon)
Lineage: Eukaryota; Metazoa; Chordata; Actinopteri; Syngnathiformes; Syngnathidae
Exons: 3
Source: RefSeq, a predicted model, not a curated record
GAAAAAGGGGGCGGGGGGGGGGGGGGGCACAUGACAUUUUUCAGCUGCCAUCAUGCUAAUAUGUGAAGGUAAAAUGAAGGCUAUAAAAUGAUAGAUACAAUAACCUUUAUUAGUCCCACAAUGGGGAAAUUUGCAAGUAAGAAUCAUGUACUGUAUUUACCGAGUUUAGUUUUUCCAUCCAUCCAUCCACUUUCUGAGCCGCUUCUCCUCACUAGGGUCGCGGGCGUGCUGGAGCCUAUCCCAGCUGUCAUCGGGCAGGAGCCAGGGUACAUCCUGAACUGGUUGCCAGCCAAUAGCAGGGCACAUAGGAACAAACAACCAUUCGCACUCACAGUCAUGCCUACGGGCAAUUUAGAGUCUCCAAUUCAUGCAUGUUUUUGGGAUGUGGGAGGAAACCGGAGUACCCGGAGAAAACCCACGCAGGCACGGGGAGAACAUGCAAACUCCACACAGGUGGGGCCGGGGAUUGAACCCGGGUCCUCAGAACUGUGAGGCUGACGCUCUAACCAGUCGGCCGCCGAGUUUAGUUUUUAAAAAUAAUAAUUUUUAUUACAACCUUUCUAAAAAUAUCAAUUUGAAGCUAUAGCUAUAUAUUUUUAUUAUGACACUGUAAGGUGUCCCUCAAGGGGAAAUGCAGCUGUCACUCCGAAGUAUACAGUACUUUGAACCAGAUCACACACAUGCAGAUCUGCAAGGAGAGAUUCAGAGUGAAAGAGGUGCACAAAGAGGGCUGCACCACUUGAUGCCUUGCUUAAAGUGGGACUCGAACCUGUGUCCUCUGACUCCAAAGCCUAAGUCCUUACAUCGGAGCAUGUAGAGGCAGCAUUUUCAUUCCUGUAUUUAUCAGGUUUUGCAGGAUCAGCAGUCUAUCCCAGUUUACUGGGCGGAAAGGCAGACUGCACCUUGGAUCUGUAGCCAGCUAAUCACAGGGCACAUAUAAACAGUCACACGCACGCCGACUAUCAAUGAACAGGAAUCGAUCCCACGCUGGCUACAUGAAAGUCAGUUGUCAGCUUUACCACUAUACUGUGACCUGCUAUUGUGAUACCCAUUGUGAUAUAUUUGUAUUUGUUUUCUCCUCCAU